Molecule: long non-coding RNA, 464 nt
Filed under: Vitis vinifera (wine grape)
Lineage: Eukaryota; Viridiplantae; Streptophyta; Magnoliopsida; Vitales; Vitaceae
Description: long non-coding RNA (VVIN_LNC003024)
Source: RNAcentral
AUCCAACAAUUUUAAAUGCCAAGGCAGGCAAAGAAAACUAUCAUUUAAUUGCGAAGAAACAAGGAGUACAAGAGAGCACACACGGUUCAAGCCAAGCCUUCUUCAAUUACAAUAUCUAGCCCAUCUGAGCAUGCUCCUAUAUGAGCUUUAACGACUGAAUCCUAUUGCGUUAAAAGAGUAAUAAAUCCUUUAAUAACCGCCCAAAAACAUGAGAAUUACACACGGUAUCAGAAAAUCAGAUGAAAUUGUAUAACUCAUCCGAAUAAACCCCUUCAAAUAAUAAAACUAAGCAAAAUAGUCUAUACCCUAUGUUACAUACCGAUGGCUUUCAUAAUAAAGGGCACUGUAGCUUUACUAGAAUACAACAUUCUCACAAGCCCAGAUUGAGUGGAACUAGGGCCAACAUUAUUGAGCUGAAUGUAGGAGGCCCUUGGUUGAUUUUCAAAAGCUAUGGUAUUGAACUC